AUGGCGGUGCCGCUUCUGACGAGGAAGAUCGUGAAGAAGCGGGUCAAGCACUUCAAGAGGGCCCAUAGCGACCGCUACAUCGGCCUCAAGUUGCGGUGUAUUCCUAAUUUAUCGUUAACCUUGAAUAGCACAAUGACCAGCUGGCGCAGGCCAAAGGGUAUUGAUUCCCGUGUCAGGAGAAAGUUCAAGGGAUGUACUUUGAUGCCCAACAUUGGCUAUGGUUCUGACAAGAAGACCAGGCAUUACCUGCCGAACAAGUUCAAGAAGUUUGUUGUCCACAAUGUCUCCGAGCUGGAGCUGCUUAUGAUGCACAACAGGACAUACUGUGCUGAGAUCGCCCACAAUGUCUCUACCAAGAAGCGAAAGGACAUUGUGGAGCGUGCUGCGCAGCUGGAUAUUGUUGUCACAAACAAGCUUGCUAGGCUUCGGAGCCAGGAGGACGAGUGA
Molecule: ribosomal RNA, 447 nt
Filed under: Triticum aestivum (bread wheat)
Lineage: Eukaryota; Viridiplantae; Streptophyta; Magnoliopsida; Poales; Poaceae
Description: partial small subunit ribosomal RNA
Source: RNAcentral